ACCUGGUUGGCUCAGUGGGUAAAGCACAUGACUCUUGAUCUUGGGGUUGUGAGUUCGAGCCCCUCGUUGAGUG
RNAcentral lists this transfer RNA (73 nucleotides) under Ailuropoda melanoleuca (giant panda). It matches the Rfam family "tRNA". Rfam says of the family: Transfer RNA (tRNA) molecules are approximately 80 nucleotides in length. Their secondary structure includes four short double-helical elements and three loops (D, anti-codon, and T loops). The record is from Rfam by way of RNAcentral. Lineage: Eukaryota; Metazoa; Chordata; Mammalia; Carnivora; Ursidae.